This 48-nucleotide transfer RNA is filed under the name Senecio madagascariensis. Its description in RNAcentral is "partial tRNA-Phe". RNAcentral also lists the same sequence under 19 other names. Lineage: Eukaryota; Viridiplantae; Streptophyta; Magnoliopsida; Asterales; Asteraceae. The record is from RNAcentral.
UUGGGAUAGCUCAGUUGGUAGAGCAGAGGACUGAAAAUCCUCGUGUCA